UACGGGGGGGGCAAGCGUUGUCCGGAAUUAUUGGGCGUAAAGGGCGCGUAGGCGGAAUGGUAAGUCAGGGGUGAAAUUCUCGUGCUUAACACGGGAACUGCCUUUGAUACUGUCGUUCUUGAGUACGGAAGAGGGAAGCGGAAUUCCCGGUGUAGCGGUGAAAUGCGUAGAUAUCGGGAAGAACACCGGUAGCGUAAGCGGCUUCCUGGUCCGUUACUGACGCUGAGGCGCGAAAGUGUGGGGAGCAAAC
Molecule: ribosomal RNA, 250 nt
Filed under: uncultured bacterium
Lineage: Bacteria
Description: partial 16S ribosomal RNA
Rfam family: Bacterial small subunit ribosomal RNA
Source: RNAcentral